This 543-nucleotide ribosomal RNA is filed under the name Bifidobacterium breve. RNAcentral's name for it is "bacterial SSU rRNA". It matches the Rfam family "Bacterial small subunit ribosomal RNA", at positions 146 to 698 of the family's 1533-position model. The record is from RNAcentral. Lineage: Bacteria; Bacillati; Actinomycetota; Actinomycetes; Bifidobacteriales; Bifidobacteriaceae.
UCUCCUGGAAAACGGGUGGUAAUGCCGGAUGCUCCAUCACACCGCAUGGUGUGUUGGGAAAGCCUUUGCGGCAUGGGAUGGGGUCGCGUCCUAUCAGCUUGAUGGCGGGGUAACGGCCCACCAUGGCUUCGACGGGUAGCCGGCCUGAGAGGGCGACCGGCCACAUUGGGACUGAGAUACGGCCCAGACUCCUACGGGAGGCAGCAGUGGGGAAUAUUGCACAAUGGGCGCAAGCCUGAUGCAGCGACGCCGCGUGAGGGAUGGAGGCCUUCGGGUUGUAAACCUCUUUUGUUAGGGAGCAAGGCACUUUGUGUUGAGUGUACCUUUCGAAUAAGCACCGGCUAACUACGUGCCAGCAGCCGCGGUAAUACGUAGGGUGCAAGCGUUAUCCGGAAUUAUUGGGCGUAAAGGGCUCGUAGGCGGUUCGUCGCGUCCGGUGUGAAAGUCCAUCGCUUAACGGUGGAUCCGCGCCGGGUACGGGCGGGCUUGAGUGCGGUAGGGGAGACUGGAAUUCCCGGUGUAACGGUGGAAUGUGUAGAUAUC